Molecule: transfer RNA, 76 nt
Filed under: Chloroflexota bacterium
Lineage: Bacteria; Bacillati; Chloroflexota
Description: Chloroflexi bacterium tRNA-Phe
Rfam family: tRNA
About the family: Transfer RNA (tRNA) molecules are approximately 80 nucleotides in length.
Source: RNAcentral
GCUCAGGUAGCUCAGUUGGUAGAGCAUGCGACUGAAAAUCGCAGGGUCGUCAGUUCGAGUCUGACCCUGAGCACCA